UCUGGAAACUGUNUGACUUGAGUGCAGAAGGGGAGAGUGGAAUUCCAUGUGUAGCGGUGAAAUGCGUAGAUAUAUGGAGGANCACCAGUGGCGAAAGCGGCUCUCUGGUCUGUCACUGACGCUGAGGCUCGAAAGCGUGGGUAGCGAACAGGAUUAGAUACCCUGGUAGUCCACGCCGUAAACGAUGAGUGCUAGGUGUUAGGCCCUUUCCGGGGCUUAGUGCCGGAGCUAACGCAAUAAGCACUCCGCCUGGGGAGUACGACCGCAAGGUUGAAACUCAAAGGAAUUGACGGGGGCCCGCACAAGCGGUGGAGCAUGUGGUUUAAUUCGAAGCAACGCGAAGAACCUUACCAGGUCUUGACAUCCCGAUGCUAUUCUUAGAGAUAGGAAGUUACUUCGGUACAUCGGAGACAGGUGGUGCAUGGUUGUCGUCAGCUCGUGUCGUGAGAUGUUGGGUUAAGUCCCGCAACGAGCGCAACCCUUAUUGUUAGUUGCCAUCAUUAAGUUGGGCACUCUAGCGAGACUGCCGGUAAUAAACCGGAGGAAGGUGGGGAUGACGUCAAAUCAUCAUGCCCCUUAUGACCUGGGCUACACACGUGCUACAAUGGUCGGUACAACGAGUUGCGAGCCGGUGACGGCAAGCUAAUCUCUGAAAGCCGAUCUCAGUUCGGAUUGGAGGCUGCAACUCGCCUCCAUGAAGUCGGAAUCGCUAGUAAUCGCGGAUCAGCACGCCGCGGUGAAUACGUUCCCGGGCCUUGUACACACCGCCCGUCACACCACGAGAGUUUGUAACACCCGAAGUCGGUGAGGUAACCUUUUAGGGGCCAGCCGCC
This 833-nucleotide ribosomal RNA is filed under the name uncultured bacterium. RNAcentral describes it as "bacterial SSU rRNA". It matches the Rfam family "Bacterial small subunit ribosomal RNA", at positions 625 to 1457 of the family's 1533-position model. The record is from RNAcentral.